UCUGCAAAAAAUAAUCUGUGGCUUCUCACAUUUUUUUUCCCGUUAAGAGCUCCAAGAACAAAUUCUAAUGCUAUCAAAGAAUACAGAUCAAAAUCUUCAAGCAAAUCAGAGAUCUGUUGGAAAUGAAUUAAGAUUGAAGCAGAAUAAUUCUUGGUAUAUGAGGUAAGAAUUCUCCUCUACUAAAUAUAUUUAAAUUCGUUCAGGUCAUAAUUAAAUUGUGAGACAGAAACUACGAAAUUAAUUACGGAGGUGAACGAUUAUGAUUGGAUUAUUAUGGGAGAGAAAGGAAUUAAAUAAAAAAAUUUAGUGGACAAAUGGUAUGUUAACAUGCACACCACGUAUCCAUGAUUAGGGACAGCAAACUGACACCUUUCAUGACAUUUUGUUGGUGGCAUGUUGAAGACAAAUGAUAAAUGUAUAUAUGUUAAAGUGAAGAGUGGACUCAUGGUCCCUAAUUAAAAAGUUGUGCUUGAAAUCAUUCCUUUCAAAAGGGAUAAUUCUCUUAAGAACGUAUGGAGCAGCAAAAUAUAUAGGAAGCAGCUAUAUACUUCAUUUUUAAAGGCAUGAAAAAUGUACAAGUUACGUUGAAGCAACACAAUACGGCAAACGACCUCGAGCCCUCGCCGACUACUUGAUUUUGGCGUCGCUUUCCUCCGGUUGAUAGCAAAUCGGAGAUUUCUUUGAAGUGAAGUUAGAUGGAAGAAGAUCAUUUGUUGACAUAUAAGGUUUAUCAUAUUAAUUGUGGAAGUUCUUGGCUGGACUAAGCUCUUGAACGACGUAAGGUGCAGAUACUCACUUUGGUGAUCCGCCAGCUUAGGAUUUCCUUUCUGCUGUCUUGGAGAGCUCCGUCGUUCCGGAGCCUAGAUUUUGGUACAGACUUACUGAUAUGUAUAUAUAUAUGUUUUUGUCCGGGGGUACGACGGGGCCCUGUCCCGUCAUAUUGCACCGUUAAAAACUCUUAGAGGUCUGUAGACAUGUAUGUGGGUUGUAUUCAGAUGUGAUCAGUUGUGUGUAUUAUCAGUAUGCGUGUUCUAUCGUUGUAGCAGCCUUGCCAGCUUGCAUAUAUUGUCAUGUUGUGGUAGCAGCCUUGUCGGCUUGCGUAGAAUAAUAAUAUAUACAGUGGCAACCUCGUCGGUUUGCGUAUGUCAUUAUGUUGUGAUUGAUUGAGGACCUAUAGUAUCAGUCCGAUUAUGUUUGACAGGUACAUAUGCGUGUCCAGCUUGGACACUAGUCAUGGCCCACGGGGUUCGGUCAUGACAAAAGUGGUAUCAGAGCUGUUCGUCCUCGGAGUGUCUACAGACCGUGUCUAGUAGAGUCUUAUUUAUCGGUGUGUUGUGCACCACAUCUAUAAACAGGAAGCUACAGGACAUUUAGGAUGUCACCUUUCUUUCAUAUCUAAGAUCGUGCGAUAGAGCCCAGCCGUAGGAAAUGAAAUUCCUUGUACUAACCUUUGAUUUCAGUUGAAGAACGACAUCGACAGAAGGAAGCGACUGACGAUAUUGGAAGUUACAAAGUACACAGGUAAGUAACGGUACGAAGGAGGCAUGUCGGAUAAGGUAAGAAUAUUGAAAUGUGAUUGAAAUGUAAAAUUGGAGGAUGAAAGAGAAGGUGGGCAGGAAAGUAUAACAGAACAGAUCGUUAAAGGAUCAGGUACGUCUGGAGGUGUGAUAUGUGAGGUAAGUCCCGACACCUUUAUACCUUUCACUUGAAGUUGGGAGCCCUGUGUGGCUAUGAUACGAUAUGAUAUAUGUGUACAUAUGUUGGCCCUGUAAGGCAUUGUUGGUAUUUUCUGCGUGCAGGUUCUGGGAUAGUAAGAAGUACAGAGGAAACUCUGUCCAAAUUUUCCCAGAAAUAGGAAAAAGGAAGAGAAUGAGGUAUACGUUCAUAAUAUGUUUUGAAGGUUAAUAUAUGAAAGGAUGACAAGAAAUGGAAGAGUAUGAGUACAAUAGUGGCACAUGCAGGAACAAGGAUAAAAAGAGGUGUUGCACAGAAGAAAUACAAUAUAGAGAUCAUAAUAUAAUGAUACAGCACGUAGAAGAAUAAUAAAGGAAGUAAGGAAAAGUAUGACAAAUUAUUGUGACAUGAUAAUGGAUGUGUGUUAAAAUGAAAUAAUAUAAAAUACGUUUACUGUAUAUUAGUGUGUAAAAUGAUGUUAUUAGUAUGAACAUAAUGUGUAGUGUAGUCAAAAAGUUGUAAAUAUACAGAGAAUAAGAUAAAGAAUUGAGGGAAUAUGACGCUGAUGUAAGUGAAUAAUAAAUAUGAUGGCCGUGGAUUGUAUAAGUGUCAAGAGAUGAUGAUGAACAUGGAUGCUGGUAUUAUAUAAAUAAGAUACACAUGUGCAAUAGCAUAUAACUAAGAAUUACACGUUGUUUAAUAAUGGUGAGCUUUAUAAUGUGAAAAAGAAAUGAAUAAUGGAAGAAAACAUUAAGUAGAAUGUAGUUGUUGAGAAUAGUGUAUGUUGAGAAGUAAUACGUGAGAGUGGUAGGUGGGAUAGUGUUGUAUGUGGAAAGUAUUGGUUGUGUAUGAUAUCAAGUAAUGAAUAUAUCUAUAUAAUAAUAAAAAAAAACCAUUAAGAUUAACGUAGUGAUAGAUGUUACAACAAGGUAAAAUGUGAAUGAACAACAAUAAAUUUAAACAAAAAUGAAGGGUACUAGAAUAACAAAAGCAAAACUAGAAUAUAUAUUAUAAAGUAGGACACAAACUAAUUAACAGGAGUGAAAAUAGUGCAUAGAAAGUUGAAAAAUUAUGUGUAGGAUUGCUAAAAAAACAUGGAGGAUGAAAAAUAUGAUUGUGGAGUUAGAGUAACGAUGUUUUGAUGAUAGAAGAUUGUGGUCAAUGAUGUAUAUAUUGCAAUAAUUAGUAAAAAUGACAAAUGGAUUAAUAAUGUAAGUACAUGUAUUGCAUAAGAUGAAAUGUAAGUAUUAAAAAAAAAUGUAUAUAAGAAUGUACAUGACAACAGUAAGAAAAACAUUAGUGUUACAAAAAUAGAUAGAUAAUUUUUUAGUGUGAAAAAAAUAUGAGAAGAACAUUAAAGGUUGUUAUGUAUGUAGUAAAAUGAUUUAAUUUUGAAAAAAAAAAAUUGACAUAGAAAAAUGAAGAAGUAGUAUGAGGAACAAUGAUUAGUAACGGGGAUAAAGAAAGGUGUCAAUAGUGAAAGAAAUACUAGAGAGAAAAGGGAGAAAAAUAACUUAUAAAGGAUAGAAAGUGACAAAAAAAAAACAUAGCAAAUAAAUAGAUGUAAUGAUACGUGUAAUAGUAGCAAGUAAAUAAAGACGUAAAGAUAGCAAUUGAUGAAAAGACUUAUUAUAUAAUGUUGAUGAUGAGAUAGUGCAGAAAUAAUCGUAAGAAACAUGAUGCAGACUAUAAUAAAAAGGUGUUGGUGAAAAACAACAAAAAUUAAGAAUAGGAUGAAAAUUACUAUAGAAUAUUAGAUUUAUGAUAUUGUUGACAAUUACAGUAAAACAAACAGUGUAUAGAUAAGAGACGAGAACUAGAGAAGAGGAAAGAAUACAGAUAUACAGUGUGUUAGAUAGACAAAGUGACUUACAAACAAAAUAGGGGUUGACAAAAAAAAAAAUGGUUGAUUUAAUGUAUGUGAUAUAAGGAACUAGAAUAAUGACAAAAGAUAGUGAAAGAGACAGAAACUGAGAAAAUGAAAGAAACAAAAAGCAAAUGUAAGAUGUUGACAAAAGAAUGAUAUAAAGGAAUAGAAAUAAUAGCUACAUGAAAAGAAUAAUAACACAAGACAGAAAUUGAAAAAGACGAUAUGGACGCAUAUGGAAGGAGGGAAAUUUAGGUACAGAGAUGCAAAGACAGAAAAGAGUAUGCGAGCAUCUAUCCUACGGUGAAAGAGUUAUAAACAUUAGAUAACAAAGAUAAAUUGGUCUUUGGCAUUAUGAGGUAAUAUGUCGAGCAGAGACGUAAAGACGAAAUGGAAAAAGGUAUGGACCGAAGGACGAGAGAGGGACGAAAAGUUCAAGGUAGUACUUCGUAAAGUAAGGCGAACUGUGAAAUAAAUUUGAAAAACGGGCAUGUGACAGAAAAGAGGUAUUUACCUCAAUGUGAUGAUAAGGGUGCUAUAGGAAAAACUACCUAUAUAAGUGUCACUCGAUAGGAAAAAAACUACCUAUAUAAGUGAUACGAGUAUUUACUUCAAAAGAGUGCUCUCGAGAGAUCCAGUACGGGACAUGAUUGACAUGGGAUUUAGAACCCCUUAAGAUGAUACAUCAUGUGUUGUAACUUUUGUUCAGAUAUAAGUUAAGCGAGAAGAGACACUCGAAGAGGAUUCCAAUGAUAAGAGAAAGUUUCCUGACUAUUACGUAAUCACGAGAUGGUAAGAGAUGACAUGGUAUCAGUAUGUCACACAGAAUUCACAUGGUUGAUUUAAUAAUGCGGGUAUAGGGUUAAUGACUAUACAAAUAAGUUUACGGGGAGAAGUAACGAUGAGGACAAAAGCUGUCUAGACUAACUGAGCAAGAGGAAAGACCGACGGGUUUAAAUGUCAAGGAGGAUCGUAUUCGGAGAGUAACUCACUAAUAUCUUUUGGAAGCAUAUUCCCGAGGUGUCAAAGGAGUGUUACAACCGAGAGUCAUUACUAAGAAGGGAACUCGUGUUCAACUAUUCAAAAGGAAUAUUAUAGGUGGUGCAUGUCAGGAGAUUAAAAUGAUGACUCCAAGAAGAAGGUACCCUGCGGACUAUGCGACCUAAAUAAAGAGUGGAAGUAGCUAUAAUAUGACCACACUCUUUGGAAGUUGAAUGAUAACUAAAGUUCGGUGGAGAAUGGUAGUAAAUUAAGCAAGAAAAGGCACAAUAUGACAGAAGAGUAAUUGAUUCGUCAUAAGAUCACCAUAACUAGUAUAUUUAUACAGGGCAAGUUUAACAUUCGAAGACGAAUGUUCUAAAAGGGGGGAAGGAUGUUACAUCCCGUGUUUUCAUACGUUGGAAAGCGUGCGAGUUAAAUGACAUUAGCAACUGAAACAAGGUUAUUCCCCAAGCUUAUAGGUGGUUAGAGUGAUGGUACAUAUGGGUUGUAAAUAUUAGAAGAUAAACAAAUCGAAGAAAAUUAAAUUUCAUUAAGGUUCAACCUUUAUUUGAGGGAAAUACAGUCCAAGCUAUAAUACCCCGUAUUUUUGGACUAGGAAAUUGAACCGUCCAUCAUGAGCAAAUUUACCCGAGUUCGGAAAUUUGGUUUUAUUCAAGCAUGCAAAUCAAGAGCUCGGUGUAUAAAAGGAUGAAGUCCCGAAAUAAUUUAAGACGGAAAAAGUAUGACAACGAGGACUGGAAAUAAUAUUUGGUGUUUGUAUAAAGAGGCUAUGGACUAGAGUUAUACCACAUGAUUAUGAUAAUGAGUAUAUGAAGUGUGUUAUAAGUGAUCAAUAUUUAAGUGAAUUGAGAUCAAGAAAUUAAUUAGAAUUGUGAGAUAAAUAUUAUUUGGCAAAUGCCCUGUAAGUUAUCGACAUGUGGCAGCCAAUAUACAUAUACACGCGCAUAAGAUUUUUUUAAAAAAAAGGGUACAAGAGCAUUUGUUCCUUAGCAAUGUCGAAGAAGUAAAACAUGGGUAGUUUUUAUUUAUUACAAAUUGUGGGCCAUCCCACAUGGUCUUCAUUGACCAUUUCCGUACUUGAAAUAUUUAAAGGAAAAUUUUUUGCCUUGGAAAGUUGAGAAUGCUGCUGGUGACAACAAGGUUGGAAAUUGAUCACUAAAGCAUGCCAUGUUUCCACGUUUUGGUCUUAUCACAGUGGAAUUCUUAUAUUUUAAGUGGGUCCAAGAUGAAUAAGUCAUUAUUGGUGAUUAUCUAAACCUUUUCUUAUCCUUUACAUGGAAAAUCUGCAAAAAACAAUAUGUGGCUUCUCACAUUUUUUUUCCCGUUAAGAGCUCCCAGAACAAAUUCUAAUGCUAUCAAAGAAUACGAACCAAAAUCUUCAAGCAAACCAGAGAUCUGUUGGAAAUGAAUUAAGAUUGAAGCAGAAUAAUUCUUGGUAUAUGAGGUAAGAAUUCUCCUCUACUAGAUAUAUUUAAAUUCGUUCAGGUCAUAGUUAAAUUGUGAGACGGGAACUACGAAAUUAAUUACGAGGUGAAUGAUUAUGAUUGAAUUAUUAUGGGAGAGAAAGGAAUUAAAUAAAAAAUUUAGUGGACAAAGGGUAUGUUAACAUGCACACCACGUAUCCAUGAUUAGGGACACCAAAUUGACACCUUUCAUGACAUUUUGUUGGUGGCAUGUUGGAGACAAAUGAUAUGAACCCGCGACUUAAGUAGGGCAAAAAAAAAAAAAAAAUUGAACCAAACUAGUACAAGAAAAUCAAAAACCACAUUAAUAGAUUUCACGCACGAAUACCAAACUGCAAAAAUUCACUUUGAGCCUUUCACGCAGAAAAUUCGUGCGUGAAGAAGGUGCCCACACCAUCUUUUCUUUUACUUGUUUUGGCAUCUAGCUAGUAAUUUCAAUACUAGUUAAAGACCAAGAGUAGGAUACCUCAAUAGGCUUAGCUUCAAGGAUUAAACGAAGUCUGUUCUCCUCCAAAAAUGAUAAACAUUAAAAAGAUUGCCGCGUAAUUAAGUUUUAGAAACUUUAAAAAUAAAAAUUCUUUAAAGUUAACUAUCCACAUUGUCUUCUUUAAUUUUAUAUAUGACAAAUUUACUCAAAUGAGUACCUUAUUAUAGUUUUCUACCAUUUGUAGCUAUCUUUUUAAAUAUUACCAUUUGUAGCUAUAUUUUAGCAAAAUAGUGUAUGUUUUCGCGUGUAUUUGUUGUCAACAAAUACAUGAGAACACGGUAAAAACAAUCAGGAUCCUUGAUUUUAGCAUUUACCGGUAGAGCUAUUAAAUUAGAUAUUAAUAUAUUUUUUUUGAUGUAUUUUAGUGAUUUUUUUAAUGUAUUUCAGUGAUUUUUUCUAUGUAUUUUACAAAAAAAUAAAAUUGAUGUAUUUCAACGGCUUUUUUUGAUGUAUUUCAAAUAUAUUGUGUACAUUCCAACUAUAUAUGAAGCCAAAUAUAUUCAAAUUUCAUGUAUUUAAAUGGAUUUCAACAAAUACAUUCAGAUACAAAGACAAAAUUAACAAAAAAUCCUACUGUUGGUCUUUAACUAGUAUUGAAAUUACUAGCUAGAUGCCAAAACAAGUAAAAGAAAAGAAGAAAAAACUAACCCAUAUGGUUUGUUGGAAUAAUUAAUAUUGCUGUAAAUUUGGAAAUACGGACAAUUGUGUAAUUGUGAUGAAACUAGCAGCAGAUGUCAACUUUAACAAACAAAAUGGGCAGGUAAUAAUUAACGUGUUGUUUUUGGCCAACUGUUUAACGGUUUCGUGGUCACCUGCUUCACGCACGAAUUUCGUGUGUGAAAAGCCCAAAGUGCAUUUUUGCAGUUUGGUCCUUUCACGCAUGAAAUUCGUGCGUGAAACCUAUUAAUGUGGUUUUUUUUUCUUGUACUAGUUUGGUUCAAUUUUUUUUUUUGUGCUACUUAAGUCGCGGAUUCCAAAUGAUAUAUGUAUAUAUGUUAAAGUGAAGAGUGGGCUCACGGUCCCAAAUUAAAAAGUUGUGCUUGAAAUCAUUCCUUUCAAAAGGGAUAAUUCUCUUAAGAACGUAUGGAGCAGCAAAAUAUAUAGGAAGCAACUAUAUACUUCAUUUUUAAAGGCAUGAAAAAUGUACAAGUUACGUUGAAGCAACACAAUACGGCAAACGACCUCGAGCCCUCGCCGACUACUUGAUUUUGGCGUCGCUUUCCUCCGGUUGAUAGCAAAUCGGAGAUUUCUUUGAAGUGAAGUUAGAUGGAAGAAGAUCAUUUAUUGACAUAUAAGGUUUAUCAUAUUAAUUGUGGAAGUUCUUGGCUGGACUAAGCUCUUGAACGACGUAAGGUAUGUGAAGUUAACCCUUAUUUCUUUUUGGCAUGGUCUUUGUGAAAUGAAUAGACGAUAUAUAUACGAUUCCAAAGAAAUUCCUAAUCCUAGAGCCACUAGGAUGGCUAAUGAUCUUGAUUCCCCUAACUUAUAUUUUUUUUUGUGUGUGUUUUGAUAUGUACAUAUGAUUUCAAAGUUUCAUUUUGAUAUAAUCCACGGGGACAUCCGAAAGGUAUUUGAUAUGACUAUUAUUUGAAACUGCAAAUGGUGGUUCGUGUUGACUAUUCUAUUGAGUCCUUGAAAAUGUUUUAAAUUGCAUAUAGUUUCUCACUACUCUGCUCGUGCAUGCCUCAAUAUAUCUUUCACCGAGUCCCGGGCCGGGUAUGUUAUCGUGCACAGUUUCACUGCAUUGUUCACCGAGUCCCUCACUAGAGGGCCGGGUACGGUAUAUAUAUAUAUAUAUAUAUAUGAUGAUAUGAUGA
Molecule: long non-coding RNA, 8310 nt
Organism: Lycium barbarum (goji berry)
Lineage: Eukaryota; Viridiplantae; Streptophyta; Magnoliopsida; Solanales; Solanaceae
Exons: 4
Source: RefSeq, a predicted model, not a curated record